RNAcentral lists this long non-coding RNA (199 nucleotides) under Haliotis rubra (blacklip abalone). Its description in RNAcentral is "uncharacterized LOC124264325, transcript variant X2". Lineage: Eukaryota; Metazoa; Mollusca; Gastropoda; Lepetellida; Haliotidae. The record is from RNAcentral.
AACAGGUCAGGUCCUGGACUUCAGGUCCAACAUGUCCGGUCCUGGACUUCAGGUCCAACAUGUCCGGUCCUGGACUUCAGGUCCAACAGCUCAGGUCCUGGACUUCAGGUCCAACAGGUCCGGUCCUGGACUUCAGGUCCAACAUGUCCGUCCGAGUCAACAGGAUAUGUAAGGUCCAACACAGGUCAGGUCCAACUCA